Long non-coding RNA from Nematostella vectensis (starlet sea anemone), 1073 nucleotides. RefSeq lists it as uncharacterized. The record is from RefSeq and is a predicted model, not a curated record. NCBI's taxonomy places the organism in Eukaryota, Metazoa, Cnidaria, Anthozoa, Actiniaria, Edwardsiidae. The transcript has 2 exons.
CCACUUGAAUCUGCAGACAAUGGUCAGUGAAUAUCGAGAUUUCAACAUGGCUCCUCCAUCUCAAAGCGUUGGUACAAACCAAGAAAAGUUGUUAAAAAAUGCUGCACAACAGAUCCAGAAAAGCAGACUACAGUCUAAAUUCAGGUCAAGAAACGGCUUGGUAUUCGCAGGACUGCUGACUACUGUGUUUGGCGUGUAUGGAUAUACAAUGUUUUCUGUGAGACAAGAAAAAAUAGAUUUUGAUGACUAAGUGUGGAAUCUGAUGGACUGGCUCUCUGGAAAAGGUCUGUGUAAAGGGAUCUUGCGAGAGGAUGUAAAGAACAUUCGAAGGAAGUGUAUCAAUAGACAAACUGACAUUAAAGGGAUGCUUCAACAUAAAUAAAAGAUACUGUAAUCAGAUGACAUUUUAUUAGUUUUCAUUGUUUAGAGUACCUUAGAGAUUGCCAUUAAUUUAUUGUAUUAAAUUCAACUUGGUAGUAAAUAUAUAACAUGCUUUCACAUGUCAUGUACAGAGUAAUGCUUUAUUUAGCUGUUAAUGCUAUAAUGAACCUGUAUGUUCCAUAAAUAAUAUAAAAUAAUUUGACUUCCUCUUGAUAAAUACUAUUUUUUAACUUCUUUUUACAUCACAUAGUCUAAAUCUUCUGAAAUCUGCUAAUAUAUUUAAGAACAAUAUUCACUCAUGAUAAAAAUAGAUAAUUUUUGUUUUGUUCUUCAAAAGAAUGCUAUUGCUACCUAUGUAUGAAUGCCCUAUGAUGAUUUAUAAUUUAUCUAUUUUCCCAAGUUCAAUAGUCCUUCUAAGAGCAGCAUCUACAGCAUCCAUAAGUGUUGCUCGAAGGCCUGCUCUCUCUAAAGAGUGGAUUGCAUAUGCCGUAGAACCCUCAGGGGAACAAACGGAAUCUUUGAGCUCCCCAGGGUGCUUCCCAGUCUCCAAGACAAGCUUGGCAGCGCCCAUUAAAGUAUGUGCAGCAAGGUUUAUUGCAACUUGUCGGGGCAAACCAGCUUUCACUCCACCAUCUGCUAAUGCCUCAAUUGCCAUAAAACACUAAAAUAGAAAUAAAAUGAGAGUUUUAGUA